GACGGUGGAGUGAUGUGGAUAAUUCGAUGCAACGCGAAAACUUACCUACCCUUGACAUGUCCGGAAUCCGAAGGGAGUUUGGGAGUGCUCGCAAGAGAGCCGGAACACAGGUGCUGCAUGGCUGUCGUCAGCUCGUGUCGUGAGAUGUUGGGUUAAGUCCCGCAACGAGCGCAACCCUUGUCAUUAGUUGCCAUCAUUUGGUUGGGCACUCUAAUGAGACUGCCGGUGACAAACCGGAGGAAGGUGGGGAUGACGUCAAGUCCUCAUGGCCCUUAUGGGUAGGGCUUCACACGUCAUACAAUGGUCGGUACAGAGGGUUGCCAACCCGCGAGGGGGAGCUAAUCCCACAAAGCCGAUCGUAGUCCGGAUCGCAGUCUGCAACUCGACUGCGUGAAGUCGGAAUCGCUAGUAAUCGUGGAUCAGCAUGUCACGGUGAAUACGUUCCCGGGUCUU
Molecule: ribosomal RNA, 453 nt
Filed under: uncultured Rhodocyclaceae bacterium
Lineage: Bacteria; Pseudomonadati; Pseudomonadota; Betaproteobacteria; Rhodocyclales; Rhodocyclaceae
Description: bacterial SSU rRNA
Rfam family: Bacterial small subunit ribosomal RNA
Source: RNAcentral